This 253-nucleotide ribosomal RNA is filed under the name uncultured bacterium. RNAcentral's name for it is "partial 16S ribosomal RNA". It matches the Rfam family "Bacterial small subunit ribosomal RNA", at positions 524 to 776 of the family's 1533-position model. The record is from RNAcentral.
UACGGGGGGGGCAAGCGUUGUUCGGAAUUACUGGGCGUAAAGGGCUCGUAGGCGGCCAACUAAGUCAGACGUGAAAUCCCUCGGCUUAACCGGGGAACUGCGUCUGAUACUGGAUGGCUUGAAUCCGGGAGAGGGAUGCGGAAUUCCAGGUGUAGCGGUGAAAUGCGUAGAUAUCUGGAGGAACACCGGUGGCAAAGGCGGCAUCCUGGACCGGUAUUGACACUGAGGCGCGAAAGCCAGGGGAGCAAACGGG